UCAGCGAUGGAUAUCUUGGCUCGGGCACCUGUAAAGGGCGCAGCGAAGCGCGAUAGUCUUUGUGAAUUGCAGAACUCCGUGAACCAAUCGCCUCCUGAACGUGCGCUGCACUCUUGGGAUUUCCUGAGAGUAUG
Molecule: ribosomal RNA, 134 nt
Filed under: Symbiodinium sp. Four0504-2
Lineage: Eukaryota; Dinophyceae; Suessiales; Symbiodiniaceae
Description: 5.8S ribosomal RNA
Rfam family: 5.8S ribosomal RNA
About the family: 5.8S ribosomal RNA (5.8S rRNA) is a component of the large subunit of the eukaryotic ribosome.
Source: RNAcentral